Molecule: RNA transcript, 2746 nt
Organism: Pan troglodytes (chimpanzee)
Lineage: Eukaryota; Metazoa; Chordata; Mammalia; Primates; Hominidae
Gene: CARD9
Gene name: caspase recruitment domain family member 9
Exons: 12
Source: RefSeq, a predicted model, not a curated record
UCCUGGUGGAGAGCAGGGAUGCCUCAUGAUGGGGAUAACGAGGAUAACGACACUUCUGGAAGGGACGUUUCUCCCCCAUGUGCAGCUGGGUGGUGGCCGAUGCCAUGGCCCCUGGCAGGCUGCUGUGGCCUCCUGGGCUCCAUAAGGUGGGCUGCAGCCCUUCUGUGACCAAGGCGUGUGCUGGCCAUGCUGUGUGGCUGUGUGCCCCCCUGCACAUGCCCUGCCCCGCUGUCCCGAGAUGCUGGCGAGGGCGAGGGUGUUCGCACAGAGCAAAGCAUGCCUUACUGAAGAAGCCUCCAGAAGCCUGUGACCAGGUCAAAGUGGCUGGGUGCGGGCUGGCCUUGUCCAGCCCCCUGGGGGUCUCUGCUGUCUCUUCUACUUGCCAGGUGCCAGGGCUGGGCCUCUGGGGCAUCCCCAGGACCCCCAGCCCCCGGCCAGGCUGGGAGGGCUGGGAGCAGCUUUCCUCUGGAGGGCAGCGGACUUCCACUUCCGUCUGCCUCUUGGGGCCUCCUGGGCUGGGCGAAUCAGAAAGCAGGUCACCAGGGACUGUCCCCCUGUGGGAGGACUGGCGGGACUGUGGAGUUAAGCAGAACCCAUCAGGAAGUGCACAGGCGUCCGGCGUGCUCCUCCCUCCCUGCAGCCCCGGGCAGCAGCUCCCAGAGGCUCCGCGGCCCAGGCUCCUGGUGCGUCUGCAGUGCAGCCUGCCUGCUGAGGCCAUGUCGGACUACGAGAAUGAUGACGAGUGCUGGAGCGCCCUGGAGGGCUUCCGGGUGACGCUUACCUCGGUCAUCGACCCCUCGCGCAUCACACCCUACCUGCGGCAGUGCAAGGUCCUGAACCCCGAUGAUGAGGAGCAGGUGCUCAGCGACCCCAACCUGGUCAUCCGCAAACGGAAAGUGGGUGUGCUCCUGGACAUCCUGCAGCGGACCGGCCACAAGGGCUACGUGGCCUUCCUCGAGAGCCUGGAGCUCUACUACCCGCAGCUGUACAAGAAGGUCACGGGCAAGGAGCCGGCCCGCGUCUUCUCCAUGAUCAUCGACGCAUCCGGGGAGUCAGGCCUGACUCAGCUGCUGAUGACUGAGGUCAUGAAGCUGCAGAAGAAGGUGCAGGACCUGACCGCGCUGCUGAGCUCCAAGGAUGACUUCAUCAAGGAGCUGCGGGUGAAGGACAGCCUGCUGCGCAAGCACCAGGAGCGCGUGCAGAGGCUCAAGGAGGAGUGCGAGGCCGGCAGCCGCGAGCUCAAGCGCUGCAAGGAGGAGAACUACGACCUGGCCAUGCGCCUGGCGCACCAGAGUGAGGAGAAGGGUGCCGCGCUCAUGCGGAACCGUGACCUGCAGCUGGAGAUUGACCGGCUCAAGCACAGCCUCAUGAAGGCCGAGGAUGACUGCAAGGUGGAGCGCAAGCACACGCUGAAGCUCAGGCACGCCAUGGAGCAGCGGCCCAGCCAGGAGCUGCUGUGGGAGCUGCAGCAGGAGAAGGCCCUGCUCCAGGCCCGGGUGCAGGAGCUGGAGGCCUCCGUCCAGGAGGGGAAGCUGGACAGGAGCAGCCCCUACAUCCAGGUACUGGAGGAGGACUGGCGGCAGGCGCUGCGGGACCACCAGGAGCAGGCCAACACCAUCUUCUCCCUGCGCAAGGACCUCCGCCAGGGCGAGGCCCGACGCCUCCGGUGCAUGGAGGAGAAGGAGAUGUUCGAGCUGCAGUGCCUGGCACUACGUAAGGACUCCAAGAUGUACAAGGACCGCAUCGAGGCCAUCCUGCUGCAGAUGGAGGAGGUCGCCAUUGAGCGGGACCAGAGCACACAAACGGAGGGGCUGUGACCAGCCUCCGCGCCCAGCGGCUUGACGUCCUCCGGAGCCUCUGCUAGGAGUUGGGCGGCCGGGCCGAGGGCCCAGGGCGAGCUUGGGGCCCUCACUGAGGGUCGGCCUUGUGCUGUCCCGUCAGGCCAUAGCCACGCGGGAGGAGCUACACGCGCAGCACGCCCGGGGCCUGCAGGAGAAGGACGCGCUGCGCAAGCAGGUGCGGGAGCUGGGCGAGAAGGCGGAUGAGCUGCAGCUGCAGGUGUUCCAGUGUGAGGCGCAGCUACUGGCCGUGGAGGGCAGGCUCAGGCGGCAGCAGCUGGAGACGCUCGUCCUGAGCUCCGACCUGGAAGAUGGCUCACCCAGGAGCUCCCAGGAGCUCUCACUCCCCCAGGACCUGGAGGACACCCAGCUCUCAGACAAAGGACGCAGGCCUGAGCAGCGGGGAGCCGCCCGAGAAGGAGCGGCGGCGCCUCAAAGAGAGUUUCGAGAACUACCGCAGGAAGCGCGCCCUCAGGAAGAUGCAGAAAGGAUGGCGGCAGGGGGAGGAGGACCGGGAGAACACCACGGGCAGCGACAACACCGACACUGAGGGCUCCUAGCCGCAGCAGCGCAGGCCCCGACCAGGGCACACCCACCGGCCCGGCCUCCUGCCACCCGGGGGUGCCGACGCCCUGGGGCGCAGACUUCCCCGAGCCGUCGCUGACAGCCUGGAACGAGGAAUCUGGUGCCCUGAAAGGCCCAGCCGGACUGCCGGGCAUUGGGGCUGUUUGUUAAGCGGCACUCAGCUUGCGGAGGCCAUGCGGGUGCUCGCCACCCCCAUGCACACGCCAUCUGUGUAACUUCAGGGUCUGUUCUGUUUCACCAUGUAACACACAAUACAUGCAUGCAUUGUAUUACUGUUAGAAAACACAGCUGCGUAAAUAAACAAACAGCAGGGGUGACUCGCA